RNAcentral lists this ribosomal RNA (465 nucleotides) under uncultured bacterium. RNAcentral's name for it is "partial 16S ribosomal RNA". It matches the Rfam family "Bacterial small subunit ribosomal RNA", at positions 339 to 795 of the family's 1533-position model. The record is from RNAcentral.
CUACGGGGUGCAGCAGUGGGGAAUAUUGGACAAUGGGGGAAACCCUGAUCCAGCAAUGCCGCGUGUGUGAAGAAGGCCUGCGGGUUGUAAAGCACUUUCGGUUGGGAGGACUGCUUCUAGCACUAAUAUUGUUGGAAGUUGACGUUACCUUCAGAAGAAGCGCCGGCUAACUCCGUGCCAGCAGCCGCGGUAAUACGGAGGGUGCAAGCAUUAAUCGGAAUUACUGGGCGUAAAGCGCGCGUAGGCGGCUAGAUCAGUCGGGUGUGAAAGCCCCGGGCUUAACCUGGGAACUGCAUCCGAUACUGUCUAGCUUGAGUACAGGAGAGGAGAGUGGAAUUCCACAUGUAGCGGUGAAAUGCGUAGAUAUGUGGAGGAACACCAAUGGCGAAGGCAGCUCUCUGGCCUGAUACUGACGCUGAGGUGCGAAAGCGUGGGGAGCAAACAGGAUUAGAUACCCGGGUAGUC